This 582-nucleotide ribosomal RNA is filed under the name Shigella flexneri. RNAcentral describes it as "bacterial SSU rRNA". It matches the Rfam family "Bacterial small subunit ribosomal RNA", at positions 202 to 779 of the family's 1533-position model. The record is from RNAcentral. Lineage: Bacteria; Pseudomonadati; Pseudomonadota; Gammaproteobacteria; Enterobacterales; Enterobacteriaceae.
UUCGGGCCUCUUGCCAUCGGAUGUGCCCAGAUGGGAUUAGCUUGUUGGUGGGGUAACGGCUCACCAAGGCGACGAUCCCUAGCUGGUCUGAGAGGAUGACCAGCCACACUGGAACUGAGACACGGUCCAGACUCCUACGGGAGGCAGCAGUGGGGAAUAUUGCACAAUGGGCGCAAGCCUGAUGCAGCCAUGCCGCGUGUAUGAAGAAGGCCUUCGGGUUGUAAAGUACUUUCAGCGGGGAGGAAGGGAGUAAAGUUAAUACCUUUGCUCAUUGACGUUACCCGCAGAAGAAGCACCGGCUAACUCCGUGCCAGCAGCCGCGGUAAUACGGAGGGUGCAAGCGUUAAUCGGAAUUACUGGGCGUAAAGCGCACGCAGGCGGUUUGUUAAGUCAGAUGUGAAAUCCCCGGGCUCAACCUGGGAACUGCAUCUGAUACUGGCAAGCUUGAGUCUCGUAGAGGGGGGUAGAAUUCCAGGUGUAGCGGUGAAAUGCGUAGAGAUCUGGAGGAAUACCGGUGGCGAAGGCGGCCCCCUGGACGAAGACUGACGCUCAGGUGCGAAAGCGUGGGGAGCAAACAGGAUU